RNAcentral lists this ribosomal RNA (660 nucleotides) under Alkalihalobacillus alcalophilus. RNAcentral describes it as "bacterial SSU rRNA". It matches the Rfam family "Bacterial small subunit ribosomal RNA", at positions 37 to 679 of the family's 1533-position model. The record is from RNAcentral. Lineage: Bacteria; Bacillati; Bacillota; Bacilli; Caryophanales; Bacillaceae.
UGGCGGCGUGCCUAAUACAUGCAAGUCGAGCGGACCUCAUAAGAGCUUGCUCUUAUGAGGUUAGCGGCGGACGGGUGAGUAACACGUGGGCAACCUGCCCUGUAGACUGGGAUAACUUCGGGAAACCGGAGCUAAUACCGGAUAAUCAAUGACACCACAUGGUGUCAUUGUAAAAGUUGGGAUACUAACACUACAGGAUGGGCCCGCGGCGCAUUAGCUAGUUGGUGAGGUAACGGCUCACCAAGGCGACGAUGCGUAGCCGACCUGAGAGGGUGAUCGGCCACACUGGGACUGAGACACGGCCCAGACUCCUACGGGAGGCAGCAGUAGGGAAUCUUCCGCAAUGGACGAAAGUCUGACGGAGCAACGCCGCGUGAGUGAUGAAGGCCUUCGGGUCGUAAAGCUCUGUUGUUAGGGAAGAACAAGUACCGUUCGAACAGGGCGGUACCUUGACGGUACCUAACCAGAAAGCCACGGCUAACUACGUGCCAGCAGCCGCGGUAAUACGUAGGUGGCAAGCGUUGUCCGGAAUUAUUGGGCGUAAAGCGCGCGCAGGCGGUCUUUUAAGUCUGAUGUGAAAGCCCACGGCUCAACCGUGGAGGGUCAUUGGAAACUGGGAGACUUGAGUACAGAAGAGGAGAGUGGAAUUCCACGUGUAGC